Molecule: small nucleolar RNA, 128 nt
Filed under: Dasypus novemcinctus (nine-banded armadillo)
Lineage: Eukaryota; Metazoa; Chordata; Mammalia; Cingulata; Dasypodidae
Description: Small nucleolar RNA SNORA31 (ENSDNOG00000030325.1)
Source: RNAcentral
GGCCUCUCUGACAGCCCUGGAGCAGGUAAUGUCUGCUGCUAAGGUUUCCCCGACACAGGCAAGGAAAAGAAGGUCCUCACACUUUCCAUCUGGUUGUGGCAGCCAAGUUUGAGUAGGGGAAUACAGGA